RNAcentral lists this unclassified non-coding RNA (284 nucleotides) under Funneliformis mosseae. RNAcentral's name for it is "partial contains 5.8S ribosomal RNA and internal transcribed spacer 2". The stretch from base 1 to 71 matches the Rfam family "5.8S ribosomal RNA", at positions 84 to 154 of the family's 154-position model. The record is from RNAcentral. Lineage: Eukaryota; Fungi; Glomeromycota; Glomeromycetes; Glomerales; Glomeraceae.
GUGAAUCAUCAAAUUUUUGAACGCAAAUUGCACUCCCUGGUAUUCCGGGGAGUAUGCCUGUUUGAGGGUCGUUAGAACAAAAAUCGAAGCGUCGCUCUUUUUUUUAAGGGUGAUCGCGUCGGAAUUGAGCAGCCUUUCAAAGGUGAAUUCAUGGCAAAGGGGCGUAGAAUUCAUCCAUCCGGUACGACUAAAGCGUAGUUAAGAUCAACUUUGAUUAAGAACGCGCGAUGAACGUACCAGCUCAUGUAGUACGUUGGACUUGACGUCGUCAGGAUAAUUCGGAU